AGAUUCGUUCAUUGUCCUUAUAUUUCAGAUCAAAAGAAGAUUUACAGUUGGGGAAGGGGAAACUAUGGACAGCUAGGUAGAGCAGUUGACCUUGACCUGUCACCACAAGUAAUUGGUUGCCAUGACAACAUAAAAUGUGUACGGUGUGGAUCAGAACACAAUCUUGCAUUAACAGGUUUCUAUCAAGUGUUUAAUAGUUUUUAUGUACCAUUUAUGGGCAUUAUGUUUUCUGGUCUGUGCACUUGUUUGUUUGUCCGUUCAUUUGUUCCUACCCCUCAAUUGGAAUUUUAAGAAAAUUUUGCAGCUUUUGGUUAUUAUCUUCAAUAUUAUUAUAGAUAGAUAUAAACUUUAAACAGCAAUUAUGUAUAGCAAAGUAAGACCUACAAAUAAGUCAACAUUAACAAACCCUUAAAGAGUUAUUGCCCUUUAUAGUAAAUUUUUAACAAUUUCAUAAUUUUGUCAUGAAUCCAUCUUUGUCCUUUGUUUAAUAUGCACAUAGACCAAGGUGAGUGACACAGGCUCUUUAGAGCCUCUUGUUUAUAUGUGUAUUGUAUAAUUUCAGAUAAAGGGAGACUACUAACAUGGGGAUGGAAUGAGCAUGGAUUAUGUGGGAAUGGAAAUGAAGACAAUGUGAUGACUCCUUCUCUGGUGGACAAAUUAAAUGGUCACAUGAUUAAAACUAUUGGAUGUGGUGCUGGACAUUCAUUUGUAUUAGUUUAUCCAACAUGAUGUAAAAUAAAGAUGGCUUUUAAAUUAUUUAUGUAGCUGGGUUGCUGACUUAUUCAUAUGUAUUGAAACUUCUCUAUUCGUUCAUUUUCUAUUUUGUUUUGUAGUUUUGACACUGAUUUUGACUUAUUUUUAUCCCUUCAACAGUUUGUCCAUCUGUCCCAUUUCAGGUUAAGGUUUUUGGUUUCUUAAGGUAGUUUUUGAUGUAGUUGAAGUCCAAUCAAUUUGAAACUCAGUACACAUGUUCACUAUGAUAUGAUCUUUCUAAUUGUAAUGCCAAAUUAGAGAUUUUACCCCAAUUUCACAGUCCACUGAACUUAGAAAAUGAUAGGGUCGGUGGAGCAUCUGUGUACAUCUGUUAGACACAUUCUUGUUUAAUAUACAAAUUUGACUUGAUUUUU
This 1127-nucleotide long non-coding RNA is filed under the name Mytilus galloprovincialis (Mediterranean mussel). Lineage: Eukaryota; Metazoa; Mollusca; Bivalvia; Mytilida; Mytilidae. The record is from RNAcentral.